UCCUCGUUGACCGAGGCAGUCUCGUAUGACAUAUGUAACAUACGACAAGGGUUGCGCUCGUUGCGGGACUUAACCCAACAUCUCACGACACGAGCUGACGACGGCCAUGCAGCACCUGUCACCGAGCUCCUUGCGGCACCCUCCUGUUUCCAGGAGGUUCUCGGGAUGUCAAGCCUGGGUAGGGUUCUUCGCUUAGCGUCGCAUUAAACCACACGCUCCACCGCUUGUGCGGGUCCCCGUCAAUUCCUUUGAGUUUUAAGCUUGCGCUCGUACUCCCCAGGCGGGGUGCUUAACGCGUUAGCUUCGACACACAAGGGGUCUAAUCCCCAUAUGCCUAGCACCCAUCGUUUACGGCGUGGACUAC
This 364-nucleotide unclassified non-coding RNA is filed under the name uncultured bacterium. Its description in RNAcentral is "contains 16S-23S intergenic spacer region". The record is from RNAcentral.